RNAcentral lists this unclassified non-coding RNA (519 nucleotides) under Hevea brasiliensis (rubber tree). The record is from RNAcentral. Lineage: Eukaryota; Viridiplantae; Streptophyta; Magnoliopsida; Malpighiales; Euphorbiaceae.
CGGCACUGUACUGAACCAGCUAGUAGCUGAACUGAGCAUUUCAGAAGUAAAAUCAAAUUCAAAGGAACAACAUAGGAGCAGGGAAUCUUCUGAAGACGAUUUCCAAAUCAUACCACAUAGUAAAGAAAGCCUUAUAAACAGCAUCACAGAGAUCCAUUACGUGGAUGUGGGUUUAAACUCUGCUGGUGCAUAUAUAACUGACCAUAAUGUGAUUGAAAGAAUAUCCAAACGUCUCAUGCAAGGAGCUCCAGGAAUUCGUUUUGUCCUUCAUGGAACACCGAGGCAAUGGUGUGAUAGCAGGCGAGUUUUGAUACGUAAUGAAAAAGACAAAUUGGUUAAUCUGCUCAUGUCCGAAGCUCAAAAGAGUGAAGGGAAACUAGAGGUGUGUGAGAAAUUAUAUUUUGCUGAUAGAACUCCAGAUCUACCGAUGCACUUCGAAAUUAUUGAAAGUAUGGAGGUUAGGUGAGUGUUGAUUUGCAAAUUUUGGUUGGCACUCUUAAUGCUGUAAUUAUACAUGCA